GACGAACGCUGGCGGCGUGCUUAACACAUGCAAGUCGAACGGAAAGGCCCUGCUUUUGUGGGGUGCUCGAGUGGCGAACGGGUGAGUAACACGUGAGUAACCUGCCCUUGACUUUGGGAUAACUUCAGGAAACUGGGGCUAAUACCGGAUAGGAGCUCCUGCUGCAUGGUGGGGGUGGGAAAGUUUCGGCGGUUGGGGAUGGACUCGCGGCUUAUCAGCUUGUUGGUGGGGUAGUGGCUUACCAAGGCUUUGACGGGUAGCCGGCCUGAGAGGGUGAGCGGCCACAUUGGGACUGAGAUACGGACCAGACUCCUACGGGAGGCAGCAGUGGGGAAUAUUGCACAAUGGGCGGAAGCCUGAUGCAGCAACGCCGCGUGCGGGAUGACGGCCUUCGGGUUGUAAACCGCUUUCGCCUGUGACGAAGCGUGAGUGACGGUAAUGGGUAAAGAAGCACCGGCUAACUACGUG
RNAcentral lists this ribosomal RNA (468 nucleotides) under uncultured bacterium. RNAcentral describes it as "partial 16S ribosomal RNA". It matches the Rfam family "Bacterial small subunit ribosomal RNA", at positions 28 to 507 of the family's 1533-position model. The record is from RNAcentral.